This 75-nucleotide transfer RNA is filed under the name Treponema rectale. RNAcentral describes it as "tRNA-Cys". It matches the Rfam family "tRNA". Rfam says of the family: Transfer RNA (tRNA) molecules are approximately 80 nucleotides in length. Their secondary structure includes four short double-helical elements and three loops (D, anti-codon, and T loops). Lineage: Bacteria; Pseudomonadati; Spirochaetota; Spirochaetia; Treponematales; Treponemataceae. The record is from RNAcentral.
GGAUCCAUAGCCAAGCUGGUAAGGCAAGGGACUGCAAAUCCCCAACCUGCGGUUCGAAUCCGCAUGGAUCCUCCA